CCUUCGCCAAAAAAAUGUGAGACACAUCCCGCAACUAGGGUUCCGACCACCGCCGUCGUCUCCUCACCCUCGCUUCUUUGAGGAACCUUCGCCAUGACCGUCUCCCUCGCCACUUUCUCCAUGCGUUGGAACGGCAUCGCCGCCCAUCCUCCUCGCCUUGGGGAAGGCAUCGCCGCGGCCGUUCCUCCGCUCGAUCGGAGAUGCAGAUGGCGCUGUUGUUCCUACGCACGCAAGUACGACGCACCCGUCCUCCUCAACUACAUCCAUUCAGAAGGUCCUAUUCUGUCUUCCGUGUAUCUGCAAUUUGGUAUUUGUAUCAGUAGUAAAAGGUAAUAUUCCCCCCGACCCUGCACAUCCUUGUUUUUCCAUUGCCGGCGGUGCCUUUGAAGCUACAACACCGAUGGAUCACAUCCUCAUUGAGACAUGUCCCUGCCCACGCAGUAGCACAUGCUGACUUCAAACCUACAAAGAUUUUCUAUUUAGUCGCAUAACUGAAGGGAACCAUUUAACAGGUACUUAAGUUUCUUAGUGAAAUAAAUGCAGGAUUCUUCUGCUCAAACAUUGAACAAAUAGAAAAGAUGGUUUCUACAGAGAUGACAAGUUGAUGAACAUGUAAGGAACAUCACUGAAUUGAUAAAUAUAAAUAAGCAUUCAGGUUUUUCUCAGGAAGUGACAAUAAUUUCGUUGUGGUCAACCAAAAGGGAAUUGAUCCUCGACCCCUCAGUCUCCUAGCUAGAUCAGGGUAACCAAUUCUGACUUAUUACUACCUGAUGGUUCUGCACUUACAUUCACCCCUAAUCUGUUUGGGGUUCCAUUUUCGUUAAGAACGUGUGUCAUGAUGUCCCUAGCUGAACUUAGAAUAUGAAAGUUGUUUGACAUUAUGCUAAUAAUGGUACUCUUUUUUUGCGAGGGCUAAUAAUAAUGGUACUCUAUAGGCCACGAAACCACCAGUUAUGUUUAAGACAAAACCAUUGUAGAAAUAAAAGUUCAGCAACCUUUUUUUGGCGGGCUUUAACUUGGAAGGGCUAAUGCCUGUACAUAAGGUAUGUAACUAUACUAAAACCUAAGCAUGAAGAUUGAUGUUCCAAGUGAUGCAUGUACAUAUCUCUAUGGCCCCGCAACAUUUUCUUAUGUCCGGAACAUGCAAGUAACAUAUAUGUUUUGCUCCCAACAAAUAGAGUUACUAAUGUCGGUAAUAGUUAGUGGCUGGGCACAUAUGAAUUCAUUUAAAAAUAGUCAUAUUCCAACGCUGACCAAGCUUCUUCCUUGCUAUUAGUAGAUAUAUAGAUUUAACAAAAAAGCAUGUACUACACCCUAUGCUCCUAUCCAAACUCCAAAGUAUUGAUUAUUUCAGCAAAAAACUCUAGUUCAGUUCAGACCAACAACAAAAAAUAGUCGUAUUCUACAACCAGUGCAGCUAAGUACUAUAAAAAUAAUCAUAAUCAAUCCUUCAUCACAAGUACUAAAAUAGGAAUGAUGUUUAUUUUUCAUGAUUGGUUGAGACCAGUCCGGCCACACAAGUUUAAACAAGACUUAGUGCCCAAGUAUAAUCAUGUGCGCCUAGUAGCAGGCUAGCUUCUAAAGUAAGUCUGUCCACACAAGUUCAAACAGGACUUGGUGCUCAAGUCUAAUCUCAUGCGCCUAGUAUCCUAUUUAAUUCUGAUCUGUUUUUUAGUACAAGCUAAGCUCCUCCUGUAGAGGCUGAUCCAAAUCAUAAUACAGAGCACCUGAAUAACCGAAUACGGUUGGAACAAGGAAGAACUCUGGGUGUUACAUUACGGACUAAAACGGAUGGGUGGAGGGAUUUUUUUCUGCCAUUGCAAUGUACAGGGCAUAUUUGCUAUUAUGUAAAAGAAGGAAAAACACUUUUUUCUAUAAGCCAUCUCUCUCUAUCAUUUUGCUGCAAUUCUUCCAGAAAUACAGCAUAAUCUCAAUCUAGUUAAUUCCGAAACAAUGUUUGCAUCCCCAGGAAGAAUGUUUUAUUCAUCACUUGUCUGUAUGUGUUAAGUCAGGAAGAAUGUUGUGUCCCUUGUUCUCAAUACUUAUUUCUUGUUAGGCAUUAGGUUUUAAUUUUCUUGCUGCCAUGUUUGUGGAUCUAACCGAUUUCCACUGGAUCUCUGCUUGUGGUCCGAGUCCUGAUCUCUGCUUGGCGUGGAGCUGCAAGAUCAGAUGGAAACCAGACUUCCUAUGGUAGGCUCAGUCUGAUCAUGCAUUCCUUCAAGGUCGAGUCAGGGUCAAAGGGUUCUGAGAAUUUUUUACAUGGAUCGGGAUAUUAAAAUGUGUGCCUUUGUAGUUCUUAGGGCAAGUGGGAAAAAAAGAAUAUCCAAUUUACAAAGUAACAGUGAAGACUCGAAGUCUGUGUUUGUACUUCAUAACAUGAUCAAAGAUAAAUUAAUGAUUCAUGGCUCAGAUGGUGAUUGCAAGGUUAAGAAUGGAGCUUCUACCAGAUAAUUAGAAUGUUAUUCUUAGGAUCAAUGUUUCAAACAUUAUAGUUGAUUGCAAGGUCAAGAAAUGGGCUACUACUAGAUAGUUUCACCUCUUGUAAUCUUUGGACCAUGUUAUUUGUAAUGAAAAAUGCUUGAUUUAAUA
Long non-coding RNA from Triticum aestivum (bread wheat), 2589 nucleotides. RefSeq lists it as uncharacterized. Lineage: Eukaryota; Viridiplantae; Streptophyta; Magnoliopsida; Poales; Poaceae. The record is from RefSeq and is a predicted model, not a curated record. The transcript is spliced from 6 exons.